Non-coding RNA from Lactuca sativa (garden lettuce), 281 nucleotides. The record is from RefSeq and is a predicted model, not a curated record. NCBI's taxonomy places the organism in Eukaryota, Viridiplantae, Streptophyta, Magnoliopsida, Asterales, Asteraceae.
AUAUGAUAUAAUAGCCAAAUAUUUGGAGAGAAGCGAAGAUCAAAGGUUUUAGAAGACAUUUAAUAAAAAGAUCAAAGAAUCGCAUCGGGAACUAUUGGGAAUUGAGACAAACAUUCGAUGUUUGAGGUUGGUCUUCUGAUCAUGAAAAGGCUCCGAUGUGACUGUACUUGCAUCGAAUAAAUUAAUAAUGUUUUUAGACUUCCACUAAAUCUCUCUUUUAUACUUAAUAAAUGUAUGACAAUGAUCUUCCAAUAAAGAUGGGCUCUUGGAUUUGUGUUUUA